UACAAAACUAAACUUGUGAUACCUUCUACUCAAACUGAUAUUCUCCCACAACACUGUUGUGGGACAAUAUCGGUUUGAGUAGAAGGUAUCACAAGUUUAGUUUUGUACAU
Non-coding RNA from Paramuricea clavata, 110 nucleotides. NCBI's taxonomy places the organism in Eukaryota, Metazoa, Cnidaria, Anthozoa, Malacalcyonacea, Plexauridae. The record is from the annotation of a GenBank genome assembly.